AGUGGAUGAGGUAGCUUGCUUCACAAAUAACUGCACCGCAAUACUUAUCUACUCAUGAAAGUGUUAGGUAAAAGAAUAUAUUGCCUUUCAUACUUGGGUUGAAUAGGUACAAAAGUACGUCCAUCUCGUCAAGUGUUGUCAUAUAAAUGGAACAAAUUGUUGAGAUAUCCUAUCUUGGUAUCGGCUACGGCUAUUGUUUAACUAUAGCCAUUAAAUUGUACUUAUUUUCUAUCUUUUAAUAUCAAAUUUGCGGGAGAAUGUUGGAGAUAUUUUAUGUUAAUAUUACAAAUAAUAAUAAUAAAUUGCAUGAAAUUUUAUUUUUAGUGGCUACAAUGGUGAAGGUGGCCAUAGUUUCGUGUGUAUAUCUUGAAUCAACUAUCUUAUGAUCAACCAUUAAUUAACCCAAUAAUAGGUCAAGUAAUUAACCACUAACGGAUGAUCGCAAG
This 446-nucleotide unclassified non-coding RNA is filed under the name Hevea brasiliensis (rubber tree). The record is from RNAcentral. Lineage: Eukaryota; Viridiplantae; Streptophyta; Magnoliopsida; Malpighiales; Euphorbiaceae.